Tigriopus californicus is the source of this 1632-nucleotide RNA transcript. RefSeq lists it as uncharacterized. NCBI's taxonomy places the organism in Eukaryota, Metazoa, Arthropoda, Copepoda, Harpacticoida, Harpacticidae. The transcript is spliced from 5 exons. The record is from RefSeq and is a predicted model, not a curated record.
UCCGUGCGUCCGGUUCUCGCUGAUUGGUCUGAUGAUGUCCCAGCAGCUGAUCAUCCAUGGGCGUCGUGAAAAAGCCAAAACAAAAAUGUCGAUCCACGGAGAGACAGAUACACUGACACACUUUAUGUAAAGUAAAGGUUAAAGUGCUUCAGUCCCUAAUGUAAAUCUACUUCCUAUGAUACAACAUGGGGGCGUGCUGUGCCGUAAAAUGCAAGAAUAGGUGUAGUAGGGGCUUCAAAAUGCAUCCUUUUCCCAAAGAUCCUACGAGGAGGAAGAUUUGGUCUCAAAGGCUCAAAAGAGCCAAUUGGACACCUUCUUCAAGCUCGGUUCUUUGUCAAGCACAUUUUACCACGGACCAGUAUAAUUCUAAUGGAAAAAGGUUGAAGAAAGAAGCAUUGCCAACCAUCUUUGCUCACACCCCACAUCGCAAAACAAGCCAAAGAAAGCCACCCAAAUUUCGGGAAUCUCGUGUAGAAUGUGAGGCCAGAUUGCGAAAAGUUAUCUUCCUGGACCAUAUCUAUUCUAGAAAGGUGAAACAACUACCUCAAAUGAGAGAAGACCUUGAAAAUACGACUAAUUGGCCGGCUUUCAAUCAUCCUGAUCAAAGUUGCUCGGACGUUCUACCCGCUCCCUCACUUCUGUGCCUAGAUAGCAUUUCCGAACAGAUUGAGGUGCACGAUAUCGGCUGGGUUGAACCCAUUCCGCACGAUAUUCAUCUUAAGCUCCUAAAAAUUCGAAAACUUGAGGUUGAAAUCAAAGAAAAACAACUCGAGACGGAUGCAUUACAUCGCAAGCUGGAACUGGCGUCUUUAGAGAUUUUAAAUUUGCAAAAGAAGUCUCAUGAACCGCCCCCACCUACUACAACUGUUGAUUUUUUGACUGCGGAUCAAAUUGCUUUUGGGGAACGAAAAUCGAUGAGAGGCUACAACUGGAGCAGUGAGACAAUCAAGAGAGCUCUCCAACUUCGUUUGUCAUGUGGCAUCUCAGGUUAUGAAACCCUUCUUCAACAAGGUUAUCCCCUUCCAUCCAUCCGAACGCUCCAAAGGCGUACUGAACACAUCCAGUCUGAUUCAGGAGGUCCGUCGGAAGGAUUGGAAGUGAUGAAGCUCAAAGAGAACACAUCCCCACAAAAGAAAGAUUGUGUUGCCUCACAACGGACAAGUUUAGCAUCAAGCCAAGGUGACAGCAAAUCCGACUCCUUCUUGGCGGACGUUAAUCUCCCCGAACAUAAAGGCCAAGGAGAGGCAACUAAGUCCCCUGCUUUUCAACUAGAUGGUCUAACAUAUUUCACCGGAAAGUGACUUUAGAUAAGUCAUUUUGAAGUUGAUAAACAGCCAGCGCAGUACUAUCUCUUCGGAAAUUCAGUCUCCGGAGAGAGCUUUGGUCCAAUCGCGAAUGAGAAUGUCAUGGAGACUGAAGAAGCUGUCUUUUUGACCUUGGUACAACCGGUGACAUCAUGAGCGGACCCAAUCAAGAGUCAUCGAAGUGAUUGAAUAUCGAUGUGAGGAAAACCCUAACUGGAACAUCGCCUUUCCUCAAAAGACACAAUUUAUAUUUAAUGUCAGAUGUAGGCCAUGUAAUAAAGAAUAUUGAGGGGGCCAUUUGCAAUGAAACGAUGAUCAUUUUACUUUC